GAUGAACGCUGGCGGCGUGCUUAACACAUGCAAGUCGAACGAAGCAGCUUAUUACGAUCCCUUCGGGGUGACGAUUUGUUGACUGAGUGGCGGACGGGUGAGUAACGCGUGGGUAACCUACCUUGUACAGGGGGAUAACAGUUGGAAACGACUGCUAAUACCGCAUAAGCGCACRSYWUCSCAUGAWMCRGUGUGAAAAGUUUUUCGGUAUAAGAUGGACCCGCGUCUGAUUAGCUAGUUGGUGAGGUAACGGCCCACCAAGGCGACGAUCAGUAGCCGACCUGAGAGGGUGACCGGCCACAUUGGGACUGAGACACGGCCCAAACUCCUACGGGAGGCAGCAGUGGGGAAUAUUGCACAAUGGGCGAAAGCCUGAUGCAGCGACGCCGCGUGAGCGAAGAAGUAUUUCGGUAUGUAAAGCUCUAUCAGCAGGGAAGAUAAUGACGGACC
Molecule: ribosomal RNA, 450 nt
Filed under: rumen bacterium NK4A555
Lineage: Bacteria
Description: bacterial SSU rRNA
Rfam family: Bacterial small subunit ribosomal RNA
Source: RNAcentral